UUGUUGUUGUUGUUGUUGUUGUUAUUUUCUUCAUCUCUUUAUCUGCUUGCUGUUCGAUGACCUCGGCGAGUGUGGUUUUGAUUGGCAGGAAUGUUACUUUGUCUUUCGAUGACGUUGACGCUAUUUUCGCUCCAGCAGUUAAGAGCUCAGGUGAAUGUGGGGCAUUGUAUUUGGCAGAGCCUCUUGAUGCGUGUUCAGAUUUGAGA
Molecule: unclassified non-coding RNA, 206 nt
Filed under: Hevea brasiliensis (rubber tree)
Lineage: Eukaryota; Viridiplantae; Streptophyta; Magnoliopsida; Malpighiales; Euphorbiaceae
Source: RNAcentral